GUGAGGAAUAUUGGUCAAUGGACGAGAGUCUGAACCAGCCAAGUCGCGUGAAGGAAGACGGUUCUAUGAAUUGUAAACUUCUUUUGUGCAGGAAUAAAGUGGGUUACGUGUAACCUUUUGUAUGUACUGUACGAAUAAGGAUCGGCUAACUCCGUGCCAGCAGCCGCGGUAAUACGGAGGAUCCGAGCGUUAUCCGGAUUUAUUGGGUUUAAAGGGUGCGUAUGUGGAUUGAUAAGUCAGCGGUGAAAGUUUGCAGCUUAACUGUAAAAUUGCCGUUGAAACUGUCGGUCUUGAGUGCAAAUGAGGUAGGCGGAAUGUGUUGUGUAGCGGUGAAAUGCUUAGAUAUAACACAGAACUCCGAUUGCGAAGGCAGCUUACUGGGAUGCAACUGAAACUGAUGCACGAAAGCGUGGGUAUCAAACAGGAUUAGAAACCCGGGUAGUCC
This 445-nucleotide ribosomal RNA is filed under the name uncultured bacterium. RNAcentral describes it as "partial 16S ribosomal RNA". It matches the Rfam family "Bacterial small subunit ribosomal RNA", at positions 354 to 796 of the family's 1533-position model. The record is from RNAcentral.